CCUUCGAUAGCUCAGAUGGUAGAGCGGAGGACUGUAGAUCCUUAGGUCGCUGGUUCAAUUCCGGCUCGAAGGA
Molecule: transfer RNA, 73 nt
Filed under: Oryzias latipes (Japanese medaka)
Lineage: Eukaryota; Metazoa; Chordata; Actinopteri; Beloniformes; Adrianichthyidae
Description: tRNA-Tyr (GTA) (tRNA-Tyr-GTA-4-1, tRNA-Tyr-GTA-4-2)
Rfam family: tRNA
About the family: Transfer RNA (tRNA) molecules are approximately 80 nucleotides in length. Their secondary structure includes four short double-helical elements and three loops (D, anti-codon, and T loops). Further hydrogen bonds mediate the characteristic L-shaped molecular structure. tRNAs have two regions of fundamental functional importance: the anti-codon, which is responsible for specific mRNA codon recognition, and the 3' end, to which the tRNAs corresponding amino acid is attached (by aminoacyl-tRNA synthetases). tRNAs cope with the degeneracy of the genetic code in two manners: having more than one tRNA (with a specific anti-codon) for a particular amino acid; and 'wobble' base-pairing, i.e. permitting non-standard base-pairing at the 3rd anti-codon position.
Source: RNAcentral